AGUGAACGCUGGCGGUAGGCCUAACACAUGCAAGUCGAACGGCAGCACAGUAAGAGCUUGCUCUUACGGGUGGCGAGUGGCGGACGGGUGAGGAAUACAUCGGAAUCUACUUUUUCGUGGGGGAUAACGUAGGGAAACUUACGCUAAUACCGCAUACGACCUACGGGUGAAAGCAGGGGAUCUUCGGACCUUGCGCGAUUGAAUGAGCCGAUGUCGGAUUAGCUAGUUGGCGGGGUAAAGGCCCACCAAGGCGACGAUCCGUAGCUGGUCUGAGAGGAUGAUCAGACACACUGGAACUGAGACACGGUCCAGACUCCUACGGGAGGAAGCAGUGGGGAAUAUUGGACAAUGGGCGCAAGCCUGAUCCAGCCAUACCGCGUGGGUGAAGAAGGACUUCGGGUUGUAAAGCCCUUUUGUUGGGAAAGAAAAGCAGCAGGUUAAUACCCCGCUGUUCUGACGGUACCCAAAGAAUAAGCACCGGCUAACUUCGUG
Molecule: ribosomal RNA, 492 nt
Filed under: uncultured bacterium
Lineage: Bacteria
Description: partial 16S ribosomal RNA
Rfam family: Bacterial small subunit ribosomal RNA
Source: RNAcentral